RNAcentral lists this ribosomal RNA (253 nucleotides) under uncultured bacterium. Its description in RNAcentral is "partial 16S ribosomal RNA". It matches the Rfam family "Bacterial small subunit ribosomal RNA", at positions 524 to 776 of the family's 1533-position model. The record is from RNAcentral.
UACAUGGGGUGCAAACGUUGCUCGGAAUUAUUGGGCGUAAAGCGCGCGCAGGCGGUUACUCAAGUCGGAUGUGAAAGCCCUCGGCUUAACUGAGGAAGUGCACCCGAAACUGAGUAGCUAGAGUACUAAAGAGGGUCGCGGAAUUCCCGGUGUAGAGGUGAAAUUCGUAGAUAUCGGGAGGAACACCGGUGGCGAAGGCGGCGACCUGGGAAGAUACUGACGCUGAGGUGCGAAAGCGUGGGGAGCAAACAGG